AGAACUGACUGCAAAAACGUCAUUGUAAGCCUGAUCUGUCUGACAGAUCAUAAGAGUCUGAAGAAAACUGCAGCAAGCCAUGAGAAUGACUUCUUGUGCAGAGACUUUAAUUUCCCAGACCUGUGCAUUUUUAAAGUGUUCAAAACCAUGUAAGAUCUUGUCCAUCUCUGCUGACCUCUAUCUGCCUUGGUCCUGACAGAAAGAACUGCCAAACCAGAAUUGUUUUAAUUGUCUGUUGAAAAAAAUUUUUACCCUGCAAUCUUAAUUCCUUUUUGAAUCUUUUUCUCUCUUUCUUUAUGUCAGUACUUAUGCCCAGUGAAGUAUGAAUAAGUAUUGGUAUAGUGAACAUGAAAUUGCUGAUACUACUAGCAAUCCAUUUAUGAAAUAAAGUAAAUUUAUAAUUUUGGACA
Molecule: long non-coding RNA, 410 nt
Filed under: Junco hyemalis (dark-eyed junco)
Lineage: Eukaryota; Metazoa; Chordata; Aves; Passeriformes; Passerellidae
Description: lncRNA (ENSJHYG00000016627.1)
Source: RNAcentral